Taeniopygia guttata (zebra finch) is the source of this 5160-nucleotide non-coding RNA. The record is from RefSeq and is a predicted model, not a curated record. NCBI's taxonomy places the organism in Eukaryota, Metazoa, Chordata, Aves, Passeriformes, Estrildidae.
AGCCACAGCCGGGGCUGCAGCGUGUCCCUGUCCCCGGGCGGCUCCUCCUGGAAGGGUUUCUGCAGGCCCUGGAGCUCUCCAGGGUGGGCAAAAGGCACGGGCAGCAGUGGGAGGACAAGGACAGGAGGCAGGGAUGAAGCAGAGUUAGAGGGAGGGAUGUGAAUCUCUCUGUCUUUGCCUUGUGGGGUUCUCAGGCACGGCUUCUCCUGGAAGGCCAUCGGAUCCAGCAGGCAUGGAUCGUGCUGGUUCACCCUGGAGGUGAUUUUUGGGAAAGGGUCUAAACUUCCAAGCUACUUAUAGAGAAGGCAGAGCCUCCAAAUUUUCCCUGGACAUCCAGGGCAAGUAAGCUGAGGCAUGGAUGGUGCUGGCUCACUGUAGCAGUGAUUUUUUGGAAAGGAUCUAAACCUUCAAGUUACUUAUAGGGAAGGCAGAGCCUCCAAAUUUUCCCUGGACAUCCAGGGCAAGUAAGCUGAGGCAUGUGGGAAGGGAAGCCCUUACUGAACGGGGCUGGUCCUGUGGAAACCACGAGGGAAGGAGCGUGGAGGUGGCACAGACAUGGGAAGAGGGAUGGCACUGGCACGGCAGGAGGACUGGCGUGCCCUCUGUGCCUCCCAACCCCCUCUGGCCAGCCUCGCCCUUGGCCUCCAAGCUCCCCUGGGAAUUUCUUCCCGUCCUCGGUGCUUGUGGAGGAGAUUGUUUUGAGCAGCUCAGACUGUGGAGCUCAUUGUCCCCCAUGCAACACCUGCAUGUUCUUGAGGCCUCGUCAUCUCAGCAACAGCCUGUGGGGCCUUGUUGUCACCCGUCUGUGGCAGAGGAGGAGGGGAGAGGCAAAGUGACCUCUUUGUGUGGCUCUGCUGCUCGCUGGCAGCCAGCACUGACAUCAUGCCCGUCUUCUUUCUUCUUCUUCUUCUUUUUUUUCAAGUGGGCGCUGAAUAUAGCUGCACACUCGGAAGGGCUGUCCUCUGGAUGCUCCUUCCAUGCAAGUCAUCCCACCUCCAUCACCUUGUGGUUAGCACAAGUCCACACAUCCCAAAUCUGAGGGAUUGAGUCCAAGGGGCCUGUGCAGUUUAAGAGCACAGCUGGAAGUCCUAACAUCAGCUUUAAAGGGCCAGUCCAGAACAUUCCAAUCAUGAACAGCCAUGCUGGAAUGUGAUCUUCAUCCCUGCCCUGGAACCUUGAGUCACAUAGUUGGGCUUGGAGAAGUGACAGAAAAGGUGGAGGUUUUCUCCCUGUGAAUGAAAUUUUAGUGCUGGAGGAGUCUGCUCUGCCCUGCCCAGGAUGGGGAGGCCCAGCAGAGCUGCACUUUGCCACAAAAGCCACAAGAUUUUGGUUCCAGUCAAGGAGAGCUAUGCUGCAGGUCAGCCCUCCUUGCAUGGCUGCAGGUGUGGGGGCAGGAGGACUGUCCCUAAAAAUCCCAGAGGGAAAGAGGAUGACAGGACCAAAGGCAGCAAAUUCCAGUGACACUGUUGGGUACCACUGUAUUAGAACAAGUGAAAUCCUUUGUGCUGCAGUGUCCCACCAGGGUUUGGUGUCUGGUGUGCCACUAUCCCAUCCCAUCACGCUGCAGUGGGACACCAGGGAGGAGAGCAGGUGUGAGGGGAUGAUGGAGAGUUGUGGUGCUGCACAAACCAGGUCCCCCUCUGCCUCAGCACACGGCUUUCCAGCUAGGCAGAUCCUGUGAGGAAAGGAAGCCUGAGAGAUCACAUCUCUCACAUUUGUGUCAUGGAGACAUUGGCAGACAAAUUAUCUUUGGGUCAGAUUUAGACCAUAUCUUAUUGAUUUUCACUCCUGUGAGCUCUCAAGCACCUACAGGUGAAAGAUUUACUGGUGUUGCUGAUGCCCUGAAUGAUCUGGGCUGGGAUCAGCAGCCUGGUCACAAUGUUUUAGUCACAAUUACAAUAAUGCUCUUUUUGUCAGAUCAAAAAUGAAGAAUAAAUAAGCUUCUUUUGCUCCUAGGUUGCUUUUUUUAAAUAAAGGAAAGAGGAAACCAACCCACAUUUAUAUUUACGAAGCCCAUUUUUUUCCAGGCCCAUCAGCAAGACAGUCCCUUUGGAAGAAGAAUAAUGUACAGAGUUUAGGACUUUGACAUUAUUUAAGCUGAUUAAUGAUCUGUUAGCUGCAAGAUGAGGUGUCAGCAUUCCAGAGCAGUUAACAAGCAUGGAUCAGGCUCUGGAAGAUACAACACUGAGUUAAAAUCCAUUAUAUUCUAGAAGUAGCAUGCCCUGGACUGUUUUUAUUCACCCUCCAGCCACUGAACUCUCACUCAUGGUUUCCACAACCUCACAGGCUCCAGACUUUUCCUCUUAGGGGAGAGCAACAUCCAGAGCUCUGGUUAAAAGAAAAUGGCCCCCAAAACACUCCUUAAUGCAGCAGAAAUAGGGAGUGGGGAUGCAAAUAGGGAAGCUGGCCCCAAGGCAAACUUCACUUGCUGCUCAGGGAAGGGAUGGCAGUUUGUCACUGAAAUUUGGUAUAAGGGAAAACAGGGAUUGAAACACAGCACAGAGCCAAAAAGAAAAUAAAAGAAUAAAUACAUAUAGAAAAAACUGAAAAGUUGCCAGGAAAAUAAUGGGCUCAGAUAUUCCAUUGAUUUUUCUGUCCACUGAUAAUCACAGGCUGCCUGAGUGCAACCUGUGUGCACGCCCUGCUGUUUUGCUGCUGAUGUGUUUAUGGCUUUGUUUGAUCCUAUCUGACCAAGAGAAUUGAUUUAUGGCUGAAAACAGCCGUCAGCAGAGGUUUGCUCUGAGCUGGUGUGAAAAUAUUUCACACUAUGGUGUUGAUGGAAAAUCCCUGGCCCAGCCCGUGUUGUUGAUACUAAUUUGGAGGACCACUUGCUGGUAACCGAGGGGACAUUUUCCCAGUGGAGGAGAGGGACCCAGACACUGGAAAAUAGAUGAAAUAUAUGUUAGUGGGAAUUGCUACUAUAAAAUAAGCCAUUGGGUACUAAGUAAAGGGUGUUAAUGAGUUUUCCUGAAGACUGCCUGAGGUUUACUUGUAAAACCAUAGUUAUUAAGAUAAAAAGACUGCCUUGAAUGCAGAAAAAAAAAUGUUAUCUAUUUUAUUCAACUAAAUGCUUUGAAAGAGAAAUCCAUGUGACUUUGAGUCAGCAAUUCGGAAUAGUUAAAUUUAGAUGUGAAAGAAAAGUAUUCUUUCUUCUGCAAAAAGCCUUUAACUUACUGUUAAGGAAUUUGGCAGGGACUCACUGUCCCUUGGGUUAGAACAAUCCUGUUCCCUCUCUCCCAGCUCCCCAAGCACCUUCUGUGCUUCUUGUCUCUGUGCACGUCCUUCUGACUCCAACACAUCUCUGAUGUUGAGUAUUAAGGGUUUCAGCUCAGCAGACUGAGCUACUGCAAAUCCACACUUAAAAAAGACUUGGAAACACUGGGAGCUGGGAUGUGUCCCUGUGGAUUCACAGCAAUCUGAUGGAGCAAGGACAUUCAUGCCAUGCAGUGCUGAGAGGGUUUUUUAGGAUGAGGCAGUGGCUUUUACAAGAUUGCCUACUCCAGCUGCAAAAAGCAGGCAGGAUUUCCACACAUGUGCCCCAAACCAGGCUUGUUUUCCCAACUGAAUUGGCUGCUCUAAUAGAAAAUAUUCCUUCUCUUUGCAGACCGUCUUUUAUUUUUCUGCUAGACUAUAUUGGCUGCAGCAGCUCUACUGUCUGAAGAUUUCUCGUGUAGAGAGAGGCAAAGGAUGUCCUGACAUUAGCGCAAGAGAAGGGAAAACAAUUUCUAUCUACACUUCUUUUCCAUGUAGGCAGCCAUUUUAGAACUUGAAAGUCGCCCUAAAACCCCCUUUCCAAUCUCUUUGGAAAAGGUUUCCUGUCAAAUCUUUUUGGUUUCUUGUCAAAUCACCUUUUUUUUUUUCAGCCUUUCCCUGUGGUACAACCAGAAUAAAAUUUGAGCCCACAGAGAGACAUUGCAAUUGCUGACUGUCCUUUUCCCAUCCCCUCGGAGGAUUUACAGCCCAGCCUAAUCUAUGCAGAGCGAUGAAGCCCAGUCCUGUUCCAGGGCAUUCCUCUUGCUCAGCAACGGGGUCACUGGUGACUGAUGGCAGCUGGUGGCCUCCGAGGACAGAGAGGUCGAGUGAACCCAUGCAAAGUCCUUGGCUUGUGUUUCUGGCAUUGUCAGCAUUAAAAUAAGGUGUUUUACAUGUAGUGGAACCACAUGCACAAGAGAAGCCAUUGUGUGAGCAUCCCUGAGAGCUCUUCUCACCCCAGUGCAAGUGUUUUCUUCGGUCCUGUCUUGUGGGGGAGGGUCUGGAGAGAUAAGGGUCUUAUAGUCUAUAGACAAAUAUAUAUAUAUAUUUACUGCUGACAGAGAAAGAAAAGAUGAUUGUGUUUUUUCGGACAACAAAGCAGUUUUGUUUGCAGAGCCCAUUAGAAUGCUUUGUGGAUUCCCAACUGAUACAUUUUUGUUUUAAAGCGUUGGAGGUUCAUGAGCUGUUUGCAGGACCACUCCACAUGCAGGAGAAAUGCUCUUCUCCCCUCCCUGCUUUCUCCAAAAUUCCUUCCAAAGCUGCGGGGCCCUUCCUUUGAGGAGGCCCAAAAUUAUUUCUGGCUUUAUAAGCAUCCUUCAAAUGUUCUUCUCUUUUCCAUAAGAAAAUAUUUUCUCUCACAAUAACUACAGCUUUGGGGAUGGGUUUUUUGCUGUACCGGCCAGGAGCUACGGUUUGUUCUCUGCUUUAACUAAACAAUUUUAUUUUUACUCUCACCCCUUUCUUUUUCCCUCUUGCAACCUUAACUUUCUGACACUGCCUCCAGAUACCUUUUAACACGGUCGGUGGAAAUCUGUAACGCUGCCAUGGUCCUGUUAUUGUUUUGCUCUGAUUCUCUGAUAGCCACAAGGAUGGAGUCCUGCACAGCUUGUCCCGGAGGCAAGUAAAUAUUGACAGAUUAAUUCUUCUCAGAUGUACAGGCCAUCAAGGAGUAUUGUUUUAGGACCUGCUCCUGGGAGGUGAUUAACACCAUCAACUCCCGUUGCCCUCAGUGCAUGUGGGGACUCUGUGGGGACUGUCUCCCUCACAUGUCACCUCACAGCACCACUGCAGCUGCCUUCUGGCUUUUUGUGGAAAAACCCCCUCUGGAAUAUCAAGUAAAAAGUGAAGCCUGCAGUCAUUUUUUGACCCACUGUAGUCCUUAGGUAGGAUCCUGUUUUCUCUUCUGCA